UGCCUUUGAGUGGAGAAUCCUAUAAAAGUUAAUGGCUUUGGCCCAGUACAUCAUGGGUAAAACUCUCCCAAACAUUGAGAACAUCUACAUGAAAUGCUGCCGUAGAAAAAGCAGCAUCCAUCAUCAGAGAUCCUCACUAACCAGACCAUGCUCUUUUCUCACUGCUGCCUUCAGCUAAGAAGUACAGGUGCCUCAGGACUUACACCAUCAGGUUCAAGAACACUUACUACCCCUCAACCAUUAGGCUAUUGAACAAAAGGGGAUAACUGCACUCAUUUAAGGACUCUGUUAAAUUGUUAUUUCGUGCUUAUUAUUUAUUGCUAAGUAUUUAUAUCUGAAUUUGCAUAGUUUGGUUAUAGUUAACAGUUCCUAAUGUUUGCAGUUACUGUUUGACAGAUUUGCUAAGUAUGCCAACAGAAAAAGAAUCUCAGGGUUGUAUGAUGUGACAUGUAUGUACUCUGGUAAUAAAUUUUACUUUGAGUUCCUCCAGCAUUUUGUGUGUGUUGGUUAGAUCUUCAGCAUCUGAAGAUUUUCUCAUCUUUGGGUUCAUGGGUUCUGUACUGUUUGGAGUUUAGAAGGAUGAAGGAAGAUCUCAUUGAAACCUAUCGAAUAUUGAAAGUCUUGGAUGAAAUGGAUGUGGAGAGGAUGCUUUCCCAUAUUGGGGAGUGUAGCACCACAGGGCACAGCCUCAAUAGAGGGGCAUCCAUUUAGAGCAUAGUUGAGGAGAAUUCUCUUAAGCCAUAUGGUAGUCAGUCUGUGGAAUUCAUUGCCAUUGGUGGCUGUGGAGGCCACAUCAUUGGAUGUAUCUGCAGCAGAGGUUGAUAUGUUCUUGAUUAGUCAGUGCAUCAAAGGUAAUGGGGAGAAGUGCAGGAGAAUGGGGUUGAGAGGGAUAAAAUGCUUCAUCUAUGAUGGAACAGCAGAGCAAACUCAAUGGCCCAAAUGGCCUAAUUCUGAUCCCAUGUUGUAUGGUCUAAAAUGCUUUGUCAAUGUUUUUCUUUAAGCGUUAAGUAAAUAAAGCUAAACUUUUAAAUUAUUUCAGUGUGAUAAAGGCUCUCAGAGCAUUCUCUAGACCAGGGGUUCCCAACUUUAUGCCACAGACCCCGACCAUUAUCCGAGGAGUCCAUUGACAAAUUUUCAAAAGAUUAAGUAAACUCGUCUUGCACAGCAACUCAUAAAGCUGUCCUGCAUGAUGGCGCCCACCGUAAAAUGCACUAACGGAUUCUCUCUGCUUGUCCUGAGGUGGCAGUGGCUCGCAGGAAGAUAACCUAUACCAGAGAGAUUAGAGGAAUUUCUUAUGAUGGAGCAGGAUGCAUUGUGUGUGCAGAAGCAAAGACCUGAAAGAUAAAUUAUUCUGAGAAUGGUCAAUCACUAAUUAAUUGAUGCUGUGAGUCCGAACAUGAUGCCAGGAAUAUUUGGAGGAAACCACGGUCUUGCAAUCCGAGGUGGUGCAAUUUCCGAACCAGGCAGUGAUGCAGCUGCUCAGAUACUGCAUGAUCUGUGGAUUAUUGUCCUCAGCAUUUUCGGUGUCUCCUUAAGUUCAUGAAAGUACUGAAUGAAGAACUCUUGGAGGAAGAAAUUGGAUUUCAUUAUCCAGCACAUCAUACCUUAAACCGCUAUGGACAGACAGUAUCCUCAGAAGAAGGACAAGAAUUGCUCAAGGAGAUGGCUCAUCACUAUCUUCUCAAGAUCAUUUAGGAAUGAGUAUUACAAGUUGGCCUGAGCUUGAGGUGGGACUUAAACAUCAGGUGAUUGAUGGUGGUCGUUCAUCCAUAACAAAAAUGGCUAAAGCAGACUAAAUGAAAAAGAAAUGUAGAAAGUAUACUGUGAAAUAUCUGAAAUACAGAUUGAUACCAGCAUCAAGAAGUCAUCAACAGCCAAUGUGUGAAAAAAAACUUCUUAAAAUGAAGCAAUGAAACUGUUCAGGUUCCUCAAGAUUUGAAGAGAAUACAGUCUGGCGAAGCAAACACAAACCUGGCUUAUGUUCAGUUACUUUGUGAAAACUUACAGAAACAGAAAAGACUUUGAAACAUAAGUAACACAUUCAAAUACUGGAGGAACUCAGCAGAGCAGACAGCACCUAUGGAAAAGAGUAAACAGUCAUCAUUUCAGCCAGAGACCCUUCAUCAGAAUGCUGUCUGGUCUGCUGAGUUUCUCCAGCUUUUAUUGGUGUUGCUUUGGAUUUCCAUCUUCUACAGAUUUUUUCAUGUUUGUGACACCUUGAGACAUGUGUGCCAGCAUUUCACAACAAAACACUGAUGCUUCAGGCAACAUUUCAUUGCUCAUUAUGAAAUCUGGAAAGACCCGUAAAAUUGGAGAAUGAUUCUGCCAGCAGUAGGAGUGUAUCUGAGUACAGUUUUGCGUAAGUUACCAGACCAAAUAAUUAAGGAGAUUCCACUCAGCAACAACUCUGUUCCAAGAUGAAUAGAUGACAUGUCUGAGAAUGUGGAAGACACAUUGUGCAACAUACUUGGGAUGACAGAAUUUGCUCUGCAGUCAGAUUAGUCAAAUUUGCCAGAUGACAAAUCUUUGCUAUUUUGUUGUUUGCUUCAUGAAAGUUGAAAGCAUAGUUCAAGAGCUGUUAUUUGCAAGGGAACUAGAAAUGUACAAAGAGCGAGUCAAUAUUUUGGGUUGUUGAGCAAUUUUUCAAAGAGAAGAACAUCCUGCUCACUAACAUUAUUGCUUGUACAACAGAUGGGGUACCGUCAAUGAAAUGAUACCACCGUUGGAUUACUGCUUUCUUGAAAAAAGCUGAACCUAACAUCACAUACAGCAUCUUGUCACAAAAAAACCUAAGUAAUCGGCUGCACAAAUCAUUAAAUACAGUUAUCAUAGUGGUAAAUAAAAUCAAGUCCCAUUAUCUCAAUUCUCGACUAUUUUGAGAGCUUUGUAUUGAAAAUGAUGUAAAGUUUGAAUGCUUUGUGUUACACACAGAAAUCAGAUGGCUCUCAAAUGGAAACUGCCUGGGGGACAUUAAAGCACUUUUUGAAACUGAUAAAAUUGUUUAAGUAUUCAAAUGCUUCAUCAGUAAUCAACUCAAGAAUACUUACUUAUCAGAAUUAUUCACACAGUUUAAUGAAAUCACACUCAAUUCCAAACAAAUAAUCUGAAUCUUAUCAAAAUCAAAUCAGUUGCCUCCACAUAUCUGUCCAAGUUAACCCUAUUUAAGUGCACCAUUGGCCAUCGGACCUUUUCCAAUUUCUGAGCCUCUUUCAGUUGGAAGAGAAAGUAAGAAUACCAGAUGAUGAUCUUCAAGUGUACCGUGUCCAUGUGGGGGAGCUGUAUAAAGUCAUGUCCGAGCCAUUUCAGGAUCUUCUCUCGAUCCAAGUUCCAGAUUGAGUAAUAGAUCCAUUCUUGAACACUUGUACUAAGGUUUUAACAGGAAGGAUGGAGGAACAACUUAUCUCACAACAAAAUCGAGGUUAAAAAAACAUAUCAAAACUUUUGGUUGCAGAAAGAAAUCUCUGAAUGCAAUCUUGCACUGUGGAAAAGGUCAUGGUGUUCUUUAUUGCUUUUCCAACAUCAUAUUUAGUGGAGCGCGAUUUCAGUACAGAUGGCCAGCUUCAUUCAAAGCAAUGAAACAGACUGCAAAUUACUGAACAUGGGGAUCUGAGACUCCUUCGGAGUGACGUUCAGCUGAUGUUGAAAAGCUGAUGUCACUGCACCAGUCCCAUCAUCUCAGUAAGCAGUGAAAAAGCAAUGAAAUAGUGACUAGCUGUACUAUUAAUGUACAAUCUAAAACUGAUGAUGAAAUUUGUUUUUAGUAAAUAAAUAAAGAAUUAAUUCUAUUUGUAGAUUUAAAUAGAUUUGAAUAAUUUUUGCAAUUAUUUGUUAAUUCUUUCAACAUGCAUUUCUUAUUUUCCUUCACUGUGCAUUGCAAGUCUAAAUUUUUUAUAGUUUUUAUGUAAUGUUCGGAAAGGGAGGUGGU
Molecule: long non-coding RNA, 3925 nt
Organism: Hypanus sabinus (Atlantic stingray)
Lineage: Eukaryota; Metazoa; Chordata; Chondrichthyes; Myliobatiformes; Dasyatidae
Exons: 6
Source: RefSeq, a predicted model, not a curated record